UCUAAACUGUUGGGUCGCCGUCGUC
This 25-nucleotide non-coding RNA is filed under the name Mus musculus (house mouse). Lineage: Eukaryota; Metazoa; Chordata; Mammalia; Rodentia; Muridae. The record is from RNAcentral.